Molecule: long non-coding RNA, 1492 nt
Organism: Daucus carota subsp. sativus
Lineage: Eukaryota; Viridiplantae; Streptophyta; Magnoliopsida; Apiales; Apiaceae
Exons: 3
Source: RefSeq, a predicted model, not a curated record
AACGAUAACUUCUCAGGAUAAAACGGGUUACGAUGUCGUUGCAUAAAAAUGGCAUCAGAAGGGAGUAGGGUUGUGUUAUUGAAAGAGAGUGUAGGUUGUGGUUUGGACCGGACCAGAUUAGCCGGGUGCCGACCCGUGUACACCUUGCCACCUCUGCUCCAGGGAGUUGGACGAGGGAUAAACGUGUCCAAACAAUACGUCGUCGUAACCCUCUGUACCUUCUUUCACAGCGAAACCCUAAUUCAACCAAAAUUUUAUCCAUCUACAAUAAACAAUAAUAACUACAUAUAUAAAAUGCGUAAGUAAAGUAAGUUUCUAUUUACCAUGGAUCUUCUGAUCAGAUUCUAUUUACCAGGGAUCUUCUGAUUUACUCACUUCUUGGUCCACUGACUGUUGUAAAGUAUGUUAAUGUCUAAUGAGAGGUAGAGGCCGCCUCGAGGUUAAAUUCUCCUCCUCAUACAAAAUAUAUGAACUGCAUUAAAAUAGCAGGUAUGCAGUUUUCCACUUUCCUUGGUACAUGGUGUUCUUUUCAUUAGCCCUAUAAUGCACAAGUUAUGGAUAUGGAGAGUAUGUAUUUGACGAUCACAUAGAUAUUUUUGGUUAUACAGAUUAAGAAUUAUCUAAUGGAUCUUAAGUUUUAAUAGUUACAGGGUACUGGCAGUGCAAACUUCUACUUGGCUACUGCAAUGGCUGAUGCUUGCUUCAGGUUUGUCAAUUGUUGUUGGGUUGCUAAACUUAAUUAACCCCUAGAAAAUGCUUAAAAAGGAAAUGUGCUAUUAUAAGUGCUUUUAUGUUGCAUUGCACAAGUUCAUUUUCAGUCUGUAGGAAUCCAAAAAAUUUCUAAAGUAUUAUAGACCUCCCUUCAGAGGAAAACCAUGAUAUCGUCCAUUAGCUUCUGAUGCUUUACUGAUAUUUCCUAUGAAGAUGGUUCAGGUGGUUGAAAGCGUAAACACAGUUCCUAAUUGUGACAAAAAGAUAUAUAUAUAAGAAGGCAGAUAAUGCUUAACAGGAGCCGUUGCAGAUUAUCUUAGCAGCAAGUUUGUGAAUUUAGCCUUUCCUUGCAAUGCACAGAUACUCACUGGCAUCACAACCUGGCAAAGUCCCUCUUGUUCUUCUUAAUGGUUGUCCUACACAUCAAGUCUUGGUCUAGUUGAUAUAUCUUCCUGGCAGGGAUCUGUUCACUAUUUCCAAUUAGUGUACCUUAUAUUUUGACUCUAACCCUUCUGGCUGUUUCUCUUGCAGCUUGAUAGAAGUUUUGUUUUCAGGUAGUGGGCUAGUGCAUCAGCAGUUUAAAAUUUGAUGGGCCGAGUGAUGAAUUCAUGUCAUUAUUAACCCAUCAAAUAUAGAAAACCUGCAAGAUAAAAAGAGUACUAUUAUUCGAAGACUCAUUUUUUUUGUUUAUAAUGAAUCUUUAAGGCGUGUGAUUUUAAUUUAAUUGGUCAAACCACCAAUUAUAUAAUUUGCUUUCUGCCUGGAAUAUUUACGUUCAAAA